This 466-nucleotide ribosomal RNA is filed under the name Vreelandella stevensii. RNAcentral describes it as "partial 16S ribosomal RNA". It matches the Rfam family "Bacterial small subunit ribosomal RNA", at positions 338 to 795 of the family's 1533-position model. Lineage: Bacteria; Pseudomonadati; Pseudomonadota; Gammaproteobacteria; Oceanospirillales; Halomonadaceae. The record is from RNAcentral.
CCUACGGGUGGCAGCAGUGGGGAAUAUUGGACAAUGGGCGAAAGCCUGAUCCAGCCAUGCCGCGUGUGUGAAGAAGGCCUUCGGGUUGUAAAGCACUUUCAGUGGGGAAGAAAGCCUUGGGGCUAAUACCCUCGAGGAAGGACAUCACCCACAGAAGAAGCACCGGCUAACUCCGUGCCAGCAGCCGCGGUAAUACGGAGGGGUGCGAGCGUUAAUCGGAAUUACUGGGCGUAAAGCGCGCGUAGGCGGUCUGAUAAGCCGGUUGUGAAAGCCCCGGGCUCAACCUGGGAACGGCAUCCGGAACUGUCAGGCUAGAGUGCAGGAGAGGAAGGUAGAAUUCCCGGUGGAGCGGUGAAAUGCGUAGAGAUCGGGAGGAAUACCAGUGGCGAAGGCGGCCUUCUGGACUGAUACUGACGCUGAGGUGCGAAAGCGUGGGUAGCAAACAGGAUUAGAUACCCUUGGAGGC